AUGGGUCUCGUCUCAGGUGCUCUGAAAUGCUGGGAGGAGUGGCAGCUGCGUAUCCUGGUGCUCAGCAGCCUAUGUGUCCAGUUCUUCCUCUACUUCUCCAUGUGGGUGCGUCGAGUCCCCGGCCUACGCAGGCUGAGAGUGGUGGUGUGGAUGGCGUACAUAGGAGGCGACGCCCUCGCAAUCUACGCCCUUGCCACCCUCUUCAACCGCCAUAAGCAGUGGACGACGGAUGCGGUGGGUGAGAGCAGCAGCGACCUGGAGGUGAUAUGGGCGCCUGUUCUCCUCAUCCACCUGGGUGGCCACCUGACAUUGAGCGCCUACUGCCUCGAGGACAAUGAGUUGUGGCUACGACAUGUCAUAACUCUGGUAUCUCAGGUCACCGUCGCCUUGUACGUCUUCUGCAAGUGGUGGUCCGGCGAGUUGAGGCUGCUGCUGGCGGCAGUUAUGCUCUUCGUCUUUGGCAUCCUGAAAUUUGGUCUCAAGCCAUGGACUCUCAGGAGAGCUAGCUAUAGUCAGAUGCUCGCUUCCACCGAUGUGUCCCAACCAAGAGAGGGAGAAAAAAGAAGUCGCGAUGGAGCAACAGGGGACAGCCCCCUUUCCCUUGAUGAAUAUGUGACACAAGCAAAGGCGAGCAUGUGCACAGCGAGCUGCGAGCAACAAGCUGCUAACCCGCCUACGGCAAUAGCAAUCAGACACAUUGAUUACUUUGUGGACCUGUCCGCUCCGUACGGUGGUCGGCUAAGUGACCUGUGGUAUCUCCAGAGCAACAACAAGAAGACGACGAAUGCAUCAUACAAGAUGUUGCAAACGUGCUUUGAUCAAAUAUUCGAUCUCUUGUACACCAAAAUGGGAUAUGUUGAUGGAGACACCAAUGUGGGAUUCACUUCUUUUGAGAUUCUGUUUACGCUUUUGCUUCCAUUAGUGGCUUUAGCUUCCCUGAUGCUCUUCGCCACAGGCAACAAGCAUGGUUACAACAGCAAGGACGUCAAGGUGACAUACAUCCUUUUCUCUUGCACUACUCUGCUGGAGUUCUUACAGUUAUGGUGUGGUAUUGUCACUGCAUGCAUUCCUUGCCUGAAAUUCAUCAACGAGUAUCUCGAGGGAUGGCAUGACAUGGUUUCCCAGUACGACCUCAUGUCGUUCUAUGUUCGCAAGAAGAAACCCACCUUCUUGAUGAAGAUCUUUUUCUUCAAAUGUCUAAGGGGGUAUGUUAGCAAGGUUUGGUAUGUAAGGCAAGUGCCUGCAGCCUACGAAAUUACGGAGCUAGUUCAACGGCACAUAGAAGAUGGAUGGAGGACAUUCAUAACUGAUGCCGCCACCUACAGGAGGUUCAGCGAUUUCAGGGGCCAGCUGACUCUGGAGAGGUCCAGUGAAGCACCAACAGGGGGUGGCCUUGGAGAGGAGUUGUGGGAUAGCUUGAAGGUGCCAUUCGACAGGAGUAUCCUUCUUUGGCACAUCGCCACAAAUCUCUGCUUUCACCGGCCCGUGGACAAGCCAUCAUCCUUCCCUCGAGGACAAAGUGACCUUACGCAACGCUGUAUGGAGAUGUCCGACUACAUGUUAUACCUGCUUUUCAUUCGCACCGAGAUGCUGUCGCCCGGCACCAGACCGGGUCUCUUCACCGUCGCCAUAUAUGAUCUAGAGGAAAUCUUGAAGAACAACAAGGCAAAGCUCCAGGAUGAAGAAGCACUUGCUCAAGAGAUUAUUCAACAGACGGCCGGGACUACUCUGAUUCACAAAGCUUGCAGGCUGGCUAUGUCAUUGAUGGACCUGCAGGAAGAGGAGAUGUGGGAGAUAAUCCAGGGCGUGUGGGUGGAGAUGCUCUGCUACUCUGCUAGUAGAUGCAGAGGAUUCCUGCACGCCAAGAGCCUGGGUGAAGGCGGGGAAUACCUCUCCUAUGUGUGGCUCCUCUGGUCAUACAUGGGGAUGGAGACCUUGGCGGACAAGAUUCACAAGCCCGAGUCUCCGAAAGAAAAGGAGAUCCUUGUUGAGGACGAUGAUUUGGCUUCUUCGUCCCACGGUGGACUCAACCGCCAAACUUCAACAGCAGGUAUCCCUAGCCCAGUGUGA
Molecule: ribosomal RNA, 2070 nt
Filed under: Triticum aestivum (bread wheat)
Lineage: Eukaryota; Viridiplantae; Streptophyta; Magnoliopsida; Poales; Poaceae
Description: partial small subunit ribosomal RNA
Source: RNAcentral